GAGGACUCUGGGAUUGGCAUGAUCUUUGGCAUCAUUGCUGCUGUUGUUGUCGUGGUUGGCGGACUUAUUGCUGGCAUUGUUUUCAUGGUGUUGAAGAGGAAGCAUGGGAAGGAGUAUGACAAGGCUUCAUCGCAGGACUCCAACUCCAACAACUCCAACCCCAUUGUCCGGACUGAAACCGAAAAACUUAACGCGGAGUGCUGAAAGAAAACCACCCAGCCCAAAUCAACUGAUGUACAUAUUUUGUAUGUGUUUGUAAGCUUGUUUGAUUACUUGUUUGACUUUUCCCAGCAAUAGACCAUUCACCUCUUCAUGACUGGGGUUUAUUUGCACUAUUGUUAUUUUCCAUGUCAGUGGUCGAAAUUGUGGAAUAGUCAUCUGUAAGC
Long non-coding RNA from Engraulis encrasicolus (European anchovy), 386 nucleotides. RefSeq lists it as uncharacterized. NCBI's taxonomy places the organism in Eukaryota, Metazoa, Chordata, Actinopteri, Clupeiformes, Engraulidae. The record is from RefSeq and is a predicted model, not a curated record. The transcript has 4 exons.